RNAcentral lists this ribosomal RNA (164 nucleotides) under Acinetobacter haemolyticus. RNAcentral's name for it is "partial 23S ribosomal RNA". The stretch from base 1 to 146 matches the Rfam family "Bacterial large subunit ribosomal RNA", at positions 2784 to 2925 of the family's 2925-position model. Lineage: Bacteria; Pseudomonadati; Pseudomonadota; Gammaproteobacteria; Moraxellales; Moraxellaceae. The record is from RNAcentral.
AGCGGGAAGCCUACCUCAAGAUAAGAUUUCCCUAGGAAUUUAUUCCUCUAAAGAGCCGUUCGAGACUAGGACGUUGAUAGGUUGGGUGUGGAAGCACGGUGACGUGUGAAGCUGACCAAUACUAAUUGCUCGUGAGGCUUGACUAUACAACACCCAAACAGUUG